RNAcentral lists this long non-coding RNA (265 nucleotides) under Elaeis guineensis (African oil palm). RNAcentral describes it as "long non-coding RNA (EGUI_LNC013873)". The record is from RNAcentral. Lineage: Eukaryota; Viridiplantae; Streptophyta; Magnoliopsida; Arecales; Arecaceae.
UGCCCUUUCAAGCAGUGCCACAGCCUCCUCAAGCUAUUCUUGCACCCCCUACAGCGGUGCGUCAUGCGAUUCUCUCGAUGGUACUGCCUGUGCCUUCUACAGCAGCGCCCCCAUAGAAUCUUAUUUUAUUUGCGGCUCCACAGUCACUACCUCAACCAGAGCUGCAAGCACCUCCUCAAAGUCUGGAGAGGAGAUUAACUCAUCAAAGUCGCCUUAGAACCCAACAGCCGGCCAGGUGAUGCUCUCCAAGCCCAUAGUCGGGCCA